RNAcentral lists this ribosomal RNA (406 nucleotides) under uncultured bacterium. RNAcentral's name for it is "partial 16S ribosomal RNA". It matches the Rfam family "Bacterial small subunit ribosomal RNA", at positions 30 to 526 of the family's 1533-position model. The record is from RNAcentral.
AUUGAACGCUGGCGGCAGGCCUAACACAUGCAAGUCGAACGAGUGGCGGACGGGUGAGUAAUGUCUGGGAAACUGCCUGAUGGAGGGGGAUAACUACUGGAAACGGUAGCUAAUACCGCAUACCAUCGGAUGUGCCCAGAUGGGUUUCGCUAGUAGGUGGGGUAACGGCUCCCCUAGGCCGCGCUCCCUAGCUGGUCUGAGAGGAUGACCGGCGAAACUGGAAAGAGGACACGGUCCAGACUCCUAGGGGAGGCGGAAGUGGGAAAUAUUGCACAAUGGGCGCAAGCCUGAUGCAGCAAUGCCGCGUGUAUGAAGAAGGCCUUCGGGUUGUAAAGUACUUUCAGCGGGGAGGCGUUACCCGCAGAAGAGGCACCGGCUAACUCCGUGCCAGCAGCCGCGGUAAUAC